RNAcentral lists this ribosomal RNA (400 nucleotides) under uncultured bacterium. RNAcentral's name for it is "bacterial SSU rRNA". It matches the Rfam family "Bacterial small subunit ribosomal RNA", at positions 356 to 773 of the family's 1533-position model. The record is from RNAcentral.
GGGGAAUAUUGGACAAUGGGCGAAAGCCUGAUCCAGCCAUGCCGCGUGAGUGACGAAGGUCUUCGGAUUGUAAAGCUCUUUUGGCGGGGACGAUAAUGACGGUACCCGCAGAAUAAGCCCCGGCUAACUUCGUGCCAGCAGCCGCGGUAAUACGAAGGGGGCUAGCGUUGUUCGGAAUCACUGGGCGUAAAGCGCACGUAGGCGGAUUUGCCAGUCAGGGGUGAAAUCCCGGGGCUCAACCUCGGAACUGCCUUUGAUACAGCAAGUCUAGAGUCCGGAAGAGGUGAGUGGAAUUCCUAGUGUAGAGGUGAAAUUCGUAGAUAUUAGGAAGAACACCAGUGGCGAAGGCGGCUCACUGGUCCGGCACUGACGCUGAGGUGCGAAAGCGUGGGGAGCAAAC